This 347-nucleotide ribosomal RNA is filed under the name uncultured bacterium. RNAcentral's name for it is "partial 16S ribosomal RNA". It matches the Rfam family "Bacterial small subunit ribosomal RNA", at positions 338 to 699 of the family's 1533-position model. The record is from RNAcentral.
CCUACGGGUGGCAGCAGUGGGGAAUAUUGGGCAAUGGAGGAAACUCUGACCCAGCAACGCCGCGUGCAUGAUGAAGGCUUUCGGAGUGUAAAGUUCUUUUUUUAGGGAAGUAGAAAGUGACGGUACUUUCGGACUAAGACUAGGCUACCUACGUGCCAGCAGCCGCGGCAAUACGGAGGCGGCGGGCGUUCUCCGGAUUGACUGGGCGUAAAGGGUGCGUAGGUGGUUGGGCAAGUUAGUAGGGAAACUCCUAGGCUCAACCUUGGAACUGCUACUAAUACUGUUGGACUUGAGUGCAGGAGAGGCAAGCGGAAUGCCUAGUGUAGCGGUGAAAUGCGUAGAGAUUA